GGCUCCAAUAGCGUAUAUUAAAGUUGCUGCAGUUAAAAAGCUCGUAGUUGCAUUUCCGAGGCAAGGGAUUAGUCCGACCUUUGGUGGGUAUUUAAUCCUCUUGCCUCGUCCUUGAGUGGUGCUUCUUGGUAUUAAGUUAUCGAGGAGAUAGCCGCUCAUCGUUUACUGUGAGAAAAUUAGAGUGUUCAAAGCAGGCUUAUGUCGUUGAAUAUAUUAGCAUGGAAUAAUAAGAUAGGACCUCGGUACUAUUUUGUUGGUUUGAGAACCAAGGUAAUGAUGAAUAGGGACAGUUGGGGGUAUUCGUAUUCAGUUGUCAGAGGUGAAAUUCUUAGAUUUACGGAAGACGAACUACUGCGAAAGCAUUUACCAAGGAUGUUUUCA
This 381-nucleotide ribosomal RNA is filed under the name uncultured marine Chaetocerotaceae. Its description in RNAcentral is "SSU rRNA". It matches the Rfam family "Eukaryotic small subunit ribosomal RNA", at positions 587 to 972 of the family's 1831-position model. Lineage: Eukaryota; Bacillariophyta; Thalassiosirophyceae; Chaetocerotales; Chaetocerotaceae. The record is from RNAcentral.